Molecule: long non-coding RNA, 199 nt
Organism: Hibiscus syriacus
Lineage: Eukaryota; Viridiplantae; Streptophyta; Magnoliopsida; Malvales; Malvaceae
Exons: 3
Source: RefSeq, a predicted model, not a curated record
GGUCGCAUUCACCCUUACUUGUUUCACCUGCUGAAGCUGCUGGAGUCAUCGCUCUUUUAAAGGAAAAAAGUGUUGAUGAGUUACGGAAGCUUUUGUCUGAUAAUGACGCAUACAAUCAGUUCUUACAAUCAGUUGACCAAGUUAAAAUUCAAAACAUUAUAAGAUAUGAACUUCGCAAGGAGACUUUGCAGCUUGCCAG